RNAcentral lists this ribosomal RNA (431 nucleotides) under Speleomantes italicus (Italian cave salamander). Its description in RNAcentral is "Hydromantes italicus (Italian cave salamander) partial 16S ribosomal RNA". It matches the Rfam family "Bacterial large subunit ribosomal RNA", at positions 1993 to 2611 of the family's 2925-position model. Lineage: Eukaryota; Metazoa; Chordata; Amphibia; Caudata; Plethodontidae. The record is from RNAcentral.
UGAAUGGCAAAACGAAAGCUUAACUGUCUCCUUAGAUUAAUCAAUGAAAUUGAUCUUUCCGUGCAGAAGCGGAGAUAUCUUUAUAAGACAAAAAGACCCCAUGGAGCUUCAAAUCUAAAUUAAUCACAUAUACUAAAAAUAUAAUAAACAACUUAAUACAAGAUUUUGGGUUGGGGCGACCGCGGAGUAAACUUUAACCUCCGAGACAAAUAAUUAAGAAAGACAUUUCAAAAUGAUAAAAUAGCUAAUACACUUGAUCCAAUAUUUGAUCAACGAACCAAGUUACCCUGGGGAUAACAGCGCAAUCCUUUUAGAGAGUUCAUAUCGACAAGGGGGUUUACGACCUCGAUGUUGGAUCAGGGCCCCCAAAUGGUGCAGCAACUAUUAAAGGUUCGUUUGUUCAACGAUUAAAGCCCUACGUGAUCUGAGUU